GUGCUCGCUUUGGCAGCACAUAUACUAAAAAUUGGAAUGAUAUGGAGAUUAGCAUGGCCCCUGCACAAGGAUGACACGCAAAUUCGUGAAGCGUCCCAUAUUUUU
Molecule: small nuclear RNA, 105 nt
Filed under: Phocoena sinus (vaquita)
Lineage: Eukaryota; Metazoa; Chordata; Mammalia; Artiodactyla; Phocoenidae
Also listed under: 1 other name
Source: RNAcentral